Molecule: ribosomal RNA, 689 nt
Filed under: uncultured Methylobacter sp.
Lineage: Bacteria; Pseudomonadati; Pseudomonadota; Gammaproteobacteria; Methylococcales; Methylococcaceae
Description: bacterial SSU rRNA
Rfam family: Bacterial small subunit ribosomal RNA
Source: RNAcentral
GUUAGAUUAGCUAGUUGGUAGGGUAAAGGCCUACCAAGGCGACGAUCUAUAGCUGGUCUGAGAGGACGAUCAGCCACACUGGGACUGAGACACGGCCCAGACUCCUACGGGAGGCAGCAGUGGGGAAUAUUGGACAAUGGGCGCAAGCCUGAUCCAGCAAUACCGCGUGUGUGAAGAAGGCCCUAGGGUUGUAAAGCACUUUCAAUGGGGAGGAAAACCUGCCGGUCAAUACCCGGUAGCUUGACAUUACCUGUAGAAGAAGCACCGGCUAACUCCGUGCCAGCAGCCGCGGUAAUACGGAGGGUGCGAGCGUUAAUCGGAAUUACUGGGCGUAAAGCGUGCGUAGGCGGUUCGUUAAGUCAGAUGUGAAAGCCCCGGGCUUAACCUGGGAACGGCAUUUGAAACUGGCGGACUGGAGUUGAGUAGAGGUAAGUGGAAUUUCAGGUUUAGCGGUGAAAUGCGUAGAUAUCUGAAGGAACACCAGUGGCGAAGGCGACUUACUGGACUCAAACUGACGCUGAGGUACGAAAGCGUGGGUAGCAAACAGGAUUAGAUACCCUGGUAGUCCACGCUGUAAACGAUGUCAACUAGCCGUUGGUCCUAUUGACAGGAUUAGUGGCGCAGCUAACGCCUUAAGUUGACCGCCUGGGGAGUACGGCCGCAAGGUUAAAACUCAAAUGAAUUGACGG